AGAGUUUGAUCCUGGCUCAGGAUGAACGCUAGCGGCAGGCUUAACACAUGCAAGUCGAGGGGCAGCACGAUGUAGCAAUACAUUGGUGGCGACCGGCGCACGGGUGCGUAACACGUAUGGAAUCUGCCUUGUACUGGGAGAUAGCCCGGAGAAAUCCGGAUUAAUAUCCCAUAAUAAGUUGAGUGGCAUCACUUGACUUUGAAAGCUCCGGCGGUACAAGAUGACCAUGCGCACGAUUAGCUAGUUGGUGAGGUAACGGCUCACCAAGGCUACGAUCGUUAGGGGGCCUGAGAGGGUUAUCCCCCACACUGGUACUGAGACACGGACCAGACUCCUACGGGAGGCAGCAGUGAGGAAUAUGGCGCAAUGGAGGCAACUCUGACGCAGCCAUGCCGCGUGCAGGAAGAAGGCGCUACGCGUUGUAAACUGCUUUUAACCGGGAAGAAACCCCAGGACGUGUCCUGGGUUGACGGUACCGGAGGAAUAAGCACCGGCUAACUUCGUGCCAGCAGCCGCGGUAAUACGAAGGGUGCAAGCGUUAUCCGGAUUCAUUGGGUUUAAAGGGUGCGUAGGCGGGGCCAUAAGUCAGUGGUGAAAUCUUGCGGCUUAACCGUAAAAUUGCCAUUGAUACUGUGGUUCUUGAGUAUGCUCGACGUAGGCGGAAUGUGCCGUGUAGCGGUGAAAUGCUUAGAUAUGGCACAGAACACCGAUAGUGAAGACAGCUUACGAGGGCAAAACUGACGCUGAGGCACGAAAGCGUGGGGAUCGAACAGGAUUAGAUACCCUGGUAGUCCACGCCGUAAACGAUGAUCACUCGUGAUUGGCGACAUACGGUCAGUCACCUAGCGAAAGCGUUAAGUGAUCCACCUGGGGAGUACGAUCGCAAGAUUGAAACUCAAAGGAAUUGACGGGGGCCCGCACAAGCGGUGGAGCAUGUGGUUUAAUUCGAUGAUACGCGAGGAACCUUACCAGGGCUCGAACGCACGUAGACAGUCGCGGAAACGUGAUCUUCUUCGGACUGCGUGCGAGGUGCUGCAUGGCUGUCGUCGGCUCGUGCCGUGAGGUGUCGGGUUAAGUCCCAUAACGAGCGCAACCCCUACUGUUAGUUGCCAGCGGAUAAUGCCGGGGACUCUAACGGAACUGCCCGCGUAAGCGGUGAGGAAGGUGGGGACGACGUCAAGUCAUCACGGCCCUUACGUCCUGGGCUACACACGU
This 1215-nucleotide ribosomal RNA is filed under the name metagenome. RNAcentral's name for it is "bacterial SSU rRNA". It matches the Rfam family "Bacterial small subunit ribosomal RNA", at positions 8 to 1223 of the family's 1533-position model. The record is from RNAcentral.